AUUAUUGAGAGUUUGAUCCUGGCUCAGGACGAACGCUGGCGGCGUGCCUAACACAUGCAAGUCGAACGGAGACAAUUGGUUCGCUGAUUGUCUUAGUGGCGGACGGGUGAGUAACGCGUGAGCAAUCUGCCCUUCGGAGGGGGACAACAGCUGG
Ribosomal RNA from Sporobacter termitidis DSM 10068, 154 nucleotides. It matches the Rfam family "Bacterial small subunit ribosomal RNA", at positions 1 to 153 of the family's 1533-position model. Lineage: Bacteria; Bacillati; Bacillota; Clostridia; Eubacteriales; Oscillospiraceae. The record is from Rfam.